This is a long non-coding RNA of Bos taurus (domestic cattle), 1431 nucleotides long. NCBI's taxonomy places the organism in Eukaryota, Metazoa, Chordata, Mammalia, Artiodactyla, Bovidae. The record is from Ensembl.
ACCUUGUAGGAUCUGUCCGGAGUGCUGAAAAGGUUUCCGCUGGAGAAGGCUGGAGUCUGGGAGACCAAGUAAUCUGACGAGCUCACCAAGCAGGAUUUUCAAGUCCCAACCAAAGAUCCUUUUAAACAGAAACUGACGUCCAUAAAGGACAAAAACAGUCACAACUAAUUUUUAAAUGGAUAUAAGAGAGAAAUUGAAGGAGAUGCCCUGUGCUCCAUGAGAGGAAGGAGGUACACAAAGCACACCUAACAAGAGGUGGCAUGCCCGAACACUCGGAACUCUAAAGAAUGUCUAGAACGUUGCAUAGCCAAGAAGAUUCUGCAGAAAGCCUAAGCUGAGCUCCCCACGGGGGUAGGGUGGGGGGCUGCAUAGAACCCACGACAAUGAUUUCUUGGCUGCCUCAAAAGGCCAGUAGAUGAGCUCUAGCUCAGUCUCACGGGACUCAGAACAAUGAAACACGUAGGGAAUCAAAACGGUGGCAGGAAGCCACUGCCUUCCGACUGGCCUCUGUCAGUAACUCGGCGGAGAGUAAACUGUGGGAGAGUCUAUCUGCCUGCUCACUCGAGAGCUUUCGAUUCAGCUUAGGCAGCACGGAGAUGGUGCCUGAGUGAGCACAAGCACUUGUUACCCGCCCCUCAAUUUCCCUUCCCCACAGCACCUGCUCCGGAGGGAGACCUAGCACCAGCACCUGAGCCCUCCAGGUGGACUGCCCUCUUCCCUCUGUGAGGUCCCGGUGCAGGCGAGGCUCUGGUCACCUGGCUAGCUCGUUGGCCUGCCCGGGUUCUCUCCCAAGUGGCUGUAGCCUGGGCAAUGCCGCUUGAAGGUAACUAGCGGGCUUUGUGUCCGAAGGGCAAGCUACAUCCAGGGGAGAGCAAAGAGCCGGAGGGCCGGACCGGGAGCGGAGAGAGUGCUUUCAGCACCACCCGCUGUCCUCCGUGCUCCCGCAGCCGGAGCCGCGGUCACCACCGCCAAGCGAUCCACCGGGAAGCGGUUCUCCCCUCUCUUCCCCUCUGCCUUCGCAUCUCUGAAUUCUGAGCCCUCGGGUGGGUCGGUGGAGCCCAGUCCGAAUUCUAAACGCCCGCCCCUGGCCUUAGGGCGCGGGACCUCGCCCCCGAAGGCAUGCAGAAUUCCUCGCCAGCUCCGGCCAUUCCCUCCUUUCCCCGAUUGCUCUCGCCCUGUCUCGCCAACAGGUUUAACCGAAGCCACCCGCGAAUGGAGCCGGCUUCAACCUCGAGUUCAUUUUCUAUGGAAACAAGCCCACUUAAAUUCCUCACUUAUGCAAAUACGAGCAAAGCGAUCUUCAUAAAGCUUUCAUUGGAGAGACGCCGCGGUAGCCUGGGCUCCGGACUCGAGAUUCCUGUCUGAUUCACCCAGCACACGUCCUUGGCGGGUGACUUUUCCAAACUUGCAGGACCUCGCAGCGUCCCUGGC